Bos taurus (domestic cattle) is the source of this 1356-nucleotide long non-coding RNA. NCBI's taxonomy places the organism in Eukaryota, Metazoa, Chordata, Mammalia, Artiodactyla, Bovidae. The record is from Ensembl.
GAUUUAUACCUUUUAACGUUCAAACCUCACGAUUUACCACUUAUUUACAGAAUGUCUUUCUUGUCUAAUUAUCACCUAUUCAUGACUCUUGCCUGGAAAAUCCCAUGAACUGGUAGGCUACAGUCCAUGGGGUCGCAAAGACACGACUGAGCGACUUCACUUCACGACUUCCAACCGUCUAAUAGGCAGCAGGUUUCCAGUAGGGAAACUGAGGAGUAAUGUAUUAAAGCCAGCCCUGCAGUCGUUGGUGACAAGAGACUGAAAUAACAGGUCAGCUUUCGCGCGGUGCCGGCACACAGAUACAGAGUCACCCCGAAGGAGCACUAUCCCCAGGAUCUGGGCGUGAAUCUGAGCGUGUUCCUGGCUUAGGAAAAUCUCAUCGCACCUUUGCAGAACAGUUUGAUUUCAUCUUCCGAUAAAUCCCUAACUCUGUAGUGUGCGUCCAGCACAGACGCACACUAGGAUCCGUCCACUCGGCCCUUCCCCAUCACAGAAGCAAAUCCGCCCGUCUCAAGAGUCCGGCUCCAACCGCAUCUCCUUUUUCUCCCCUUUCUUCCCCCGCAGCCAGGACAACCCACGACGCCCCCAAGCACUCCAACCCGGAGAACCAGAUCUAGUCCCUCGCGCGAGGCUACCAGCGCGCCUGCGCCGCCCGGCAGCCUCGCGCAUGCCCGCUGUCUCCUGCCGGUUUUCCCCAGGUGCUCGAGCUCUCAGGCUCCCGCGGUUCCGGGACGCCGCGCGCCUGAUGGCUCGGCUUCCGGCUCCCACGCCUUGGGCCGCGCGACCCGGCACCCGGCUGCCCGGCGAUGACGUUCCGAUGCUGGCGGGCUGUGGGUGGGCGUGGAGCGAGAACAGGGAUGGAGGUGGAGAAGUGGGGCGCUCCAGCCUGUGGUUCACCCAGCGGGGCUUAGUCUUGCGACUCAUUCCACGCACGGAAUUUAUCCCGUCCGCCUGUGAUCUGGAUUUCUCAGCUUCUAUUCCCUGUCCCUGGAAUAUCGGGGACUGACUGAACAUCAUACGAGAUCUUGCUUCACUUGCUCAUCCUGUUUAAGCCCCUCAGAGAAAUUCAAAGAGUUUCCGUUGGUGGAAACCCUUUUGCAUAGCAACUCUUUUUAUGUUUUCCCACCGACUCCCCACACUAGCUUGCAAGGGACUCGAUGUCCUGAGAACUUUGGAAACAUGUCCAAAGUGAUACUGCUUAUGUGAUGGCCCCAGGAUCUGAUCAGUGACGCCUCCGCAUAUAAACAUGGGCUUCAAAUUGAUCAAUAAAUUAAAGCACUAUAAAAAAGGGAGGUAACUAGUUAGCAAGAUCCUUUCUUUCUAAAGUCAAUAAGCCAAUAAGGCAUGGAGUAUUAC